AGCUGCGUGGCGCAGUGGAAGCGCGGUAAGUUCUCAAAAGUCAACUCGCAUAAAAGGAUCCAUCAUACUGACAACAAACAAUAGCCGGGCUCAUAACCCGGAGGUCCUCCGAUCGAAACGGAGCGCAGCUA
This is a non-coding RNA of Coniochaeta ligniaria NRRL 30616, 131 nucleotides long. NCBI's taxonomy places the organism in Eukaryota, Fungi, Ascomycota, Sordariomycetes, Coniochaetales, Coniochaetaceae. The record is from the annotation of a GenBank genome assembly.